GCAACACAGGACAUAACAAUCAGCAACAACCAACACAGGACAUAACAAUCAGCUCUCUCAGCAACAACCAACACAGGACAUAACAAUCAGCUCUCUCUCAGCAACAACCAACACAGGACAUAACAAUCAGCUCUCUCAGCAACAACCAACACAGGACAUAACAAUCAGCAACAACCAACACAGGACAUAACAAUCAGCUCUCUCAGCAACAACUAACACAGGACAUAACAAUCAGCUCUCUCUCAGCAACAACUAACACAGGACAUAACAAUCAGCUCUCUCAGCAACAACUAACACAGGACAUAACAAUCAGCUCUCUCAGCAACAACUAACACAGGACAUAACAAUCAGCUCUCUCUCAGCAACAACCAACACAGGACAUAACAAUCAGCUCUCUCAGCAACAACCAACACAGGACAUAACAAUCAGCUCUCUCUCAGCAACAACUAACACAGGACAUAACAAUCAGCUCUCUCUCAGCAACAACUAACACAGGACAUAACAAUCAGCUCUCUCUCAGCAACACCUAACACAGGACAUAACAAUCAGCUCUCUCUCAGCAACAACCAACACAGGACAUAACAAUCAGCUCUCUCAGCAACAACCAACACAGGACAUAACAAUCAGCUCUCUCAGCAACAACCAACACAGGACAUAACAAUCAGCUCUCUCAGCAACAACCAACACAGGACAUAACAAUCAGCUCUCUCUCAGCAACAACUAACACAGGACAUAUCAAUCAGCUCUCUCUCAGCAACAACUAACACAGGACAUAACAAUCAGCUCUCUCUCAGCAACAACUAACACAGGACAUAACAAUCAGCUCUCUCAGCAACACCUAACACAGGACAUAACAAUCAGCUCUCUCAGCAACAACCAACACAGGACAUAACAAUCAGCUCUCUCUCAGCAACAACUAACACAGGACAUAACAAUCAGCUCUCUCUCAGCAACACCUAACACAGGACAUAACAAUCAGCUCUCUCAGCAACAACCAACACAGGACAUAACAAUCAGCUCUCUCAGCAACAACUAACACAGGACAUAACAAUCAGCUAUCUCUCAGCAAAACUAAACAAAAUACAGGACAUAACAAUCAGCUCUUUCUGAGCAACAACUAACAUAGGACACACUAAUCAGCUCUCUCCUAACAAAGGAACACUUGCUUUUCUAGCUUCAGAAGGAGACUGUAAUGGGAUACAGCUGUAUCCUCUGAAGAGAGGGUGGGGUCAGCCUCAAUUAGCAAUGGGGCCGACCAAUCAGCUGCUUGGGGGAAUUUCAGGAAGCCAUCCUGAAACAUACACAUACAAACAAACCACAACACAGAAACUGGGGAACGUAACAAUCUGGGGCCUGUUGCACAAAAGUAGAAUUAAGACAUCCGGGAUAAAUGACUCAGCUGAGCUCAAUGAAGCCAAAACAUGUGCGUCCAGGCUUAAUUGGUUGCACAAAGACCAAGCCAGGAUGAGCAGACACGGAUUCAUUAAGCCAGGUGAAACCAAUCCUGGAUAGGUGCGCGCUCACGGCUCACUCAAAUAGACCCCGCCACAGAUCACAGAUUAACUGAUUUACCAUGGCAACUAGAGCCGCGUAUUUUUCCCCGUCGGAAGCACAAAUCCUCAUGGAGGCAUACGAGGAGGUAAAAGAUAUAAUUAAGAAGAAAGGCAACACCGCCACAGUGAUAAAGCAAUGAGAAAAAGCGUGGCAAAGUAUUGCAGACCGCCUGAAUGCGUAAGUAGUGCACAAUUACACACUCACCGCUCCGCUGAAACAUCACAAUUACAAUUCAAAUAUUUAAUUCACAUCUCCAAAAAUGCAGUUGUACUGUAAUUAUGAAACGGUAAAAAUUUUAAUUGAAAUGCACUGCAGAUAUGAGUGAAAUUGUGUAAAGUAACUCCAUCACACUGUAUAAAGCUAUGAUAAAUUUUUUGAUAUUUUUACUGAAAACAAGACAAAAAUACCAAGUAAUUUUUUGCAGUGUGACUCCAUUAAAUGUGUGUGUGUGUGUGUGUGUGUGUGUGUGUGUGUGUGUGUGUGUGUGUGUGUGUAGAUUAAACAUGAACGGGCCAAAACGGACAUGGCAGCAGGUCAAAAUCAAAUACAAGAACAUUCUGCAGAAUGCAGUGAAAAAGAAUACCCACAGACAAGGCACGGGUGGUGGGUCACCAAAGGCUGACCUUACCCCAGCAGAGGACAUGGCCUUGGAGCUAAAUAAAGGCAGGCCCGUCUUAGAGGGGAUCCCUGGGGGUAAAAGAGACGAGCAUAGGUUCCUCCCAAGAUGCCACCCGCUUCAUUCAAGUGCCUGGCAGCACUGUGUUCCUGUUAGAGCCACCAGCACAAGCACCAGACGAUGCUGAUCCAGGUGAAGGCCCCAGUGCAGCAGCAACAGCACAUGAUGGAGACGAUGAUGAGGAGGAGACCAUCUCUCUGGAUUCCAGAAGGCAUGAGGUAUCAUGUUAAGACUGUGAAAGUACUAUUUACUUACAAUGGUGAGGAGUCCUCAUCAAAAUCAAAAAAUCUAAUUUCUUUUACAGGACCCAGAUGCUAUACAGUGGGAAAACCAGCCUGGCAACAUAGUGCGUAUUAAUAAAAGGACACCACAUCCUGCCAAAUUCCAGCUGCGCUAAUUGUAUUGUGUUCACAGAGCUCACAAGCUAUCAGAAAGUUGUAUGGCAACCACCUCCGGCGCCAAAUAGAACUGGCAGACAUAGACAUUCAGUACAAGAAGAAAAAGAUGGAAAAUCUUGCACUGGAGUCCGAAAUAAAAAGAGGACAAUUAGGAAACUGGACCUUGAAAUAAAAAACUUGAGAGGGAGGUGAGAUAUGCCUUCAAUGUACACUGUAUGCUAACUGUAACACAAAUGUAUUAAUCAUUAUUUUUCUUUCCUCCCCAGCUCCAAGAAGAUGACACAGCUCAAAAUAAAAAUUAGGUAUAUUCUCGUAAAGUCAAGUGAGCCAUGACAUAUGAGCUCUUAUUGUGAGCACACAGGACGGUGGCAUCUUUCUAAGGUUUUUUUA
This is a long non-coding RNA of Oncorhynchus nerka (sockeye salmon), 3018 nucleotides long. RefSeq lists it as uncharacterized. NCBI's taxonomy places the organism in Eukaryota, Metazoa, Chordata, Actinopteri, Salmoniformes, Salmonidae. The transcript has 4 exons. The record is from RefSeq and is a predicted model, not a curated record.